Small nucleolar RNA from Catagonus wagneri (Chacoan peccary), 130 nucleotides. The record is from Ensembl. Lineage: Eukaryota; Metazoa; Chordata; Mammalia; Artiodactyla; Tayassuidae.
AAGCCAGUCAAUGAAUUUGCUUACCUGAAUGUGUUUAUACAGAAAUUUAGUAAACGCUGGCCAAAGGAAAGCCAUGUUACGAGGCUUAAAGACACUGAAGUCUUUAAGGUCCCUGAAAAUGGCAACAAGA